This 1522-nucleotide ribosomal RNA is filed under the name metagenome. RNAcentral's name for it is "bacterial SSU rRNA". It matches the Rfam family "Bacterial small subunit ribosomal RNA". The record is from RNAcentral.
AGAGUUUGAUCAUGGCUCAGAUUGAACGCUGGCGGCGGGCCUAACACAUGCAAGUCGAACGGCAACAGGAAGAAGCUUGCUUCUUUGCUGACGAGUGGCGGACGGGUGAGUAAUGUCUGGGAAACUGCCUGAUGGAGGGGGAUAACUACUGGAAACGGUAGCUAAUACCGCAUAACGUCGCAAGACCAAAGAGGGGGACCUUCGGGCCUCUUGCCAUCGGAUGUGCCCAGAUGGGAUUAGCUAGUAGGUGGGGUAACGGCUCACCUAGGCGACGAUCCCUAGCUGGUCUGAGAGGAUGACCAGCCACACUGGAACUGAGACACGGUCCAGACUCCUACGGGAGGCAGCAGUGGGGAAUAUUGCACAAUGGGCGCAAGCCUGAUGCAGCCAUGCCGCGUGUAUGAAGAAGGCCUUCGGGUUGUAAAGUACUUUCAGCGGGGAGGAAGGGAGUAAAGUUAAUACCUUUGCUCAUUGACGUUACCCGCAGAAGAAGCACCGGCUAACUCCGUGCCAGCAGCCGCGGUAAUACGGAGGGUGCAAGCGUUAAUCGGAAUUACUGGGCGUAAAGCGCACGCAGGCGGUUUGUUAAGUCAGAUGUGAAAUCCCCGGGCUCAACCUGGGAACUGCAUCUGAUACUGGCAAGCUUGAGUCUCGUAGAGGGGGGUAGAAUUCCAGGUGUAGCGGUGAAAUGCGUAGAGAUCUGGAGGAAUACCGGUGGCGAAGGCGGCCCCCUGGACGAAGACUGACGCUCAGGUGCGAAAGCGUGGGGAGCAAACAGAAUUAGAUACCCUGGUAGUCCACGCCGUAAACGAUGUCGACUUGGAGGUUGUGCCCUUGAGGCGUGGCUUCCGGAGCUAACGCGUUAAGUCGACCGCCUGGGGAGUACGGCCGCAAGGUUAAAACUCAAAUGAAUUGACGGGGGCCCGCACAAGCGGUGGAGCAUGUGGUUUAAUUCGAUGCAACGCGAAGAACCUUACCUGGUCUUGACAUCCACGGAAGUUUUCAGAGAUGAGAAUGUGCCUUCGGGAACCGUGAGACAGGUGCUGCAUGGCUGUCGUCAGCUCGUGUUGUGAAAUGUUGGGUUAAGUCCCGCAACGAGCGCAACCCUUAUCCUUUGUUGCCAGCGGUCCGGCCGGGAACUCAAAGGAGACUGCCAGUGAUAAACUGGAGGAAGGUGGGGAUGACGUCAAGUCAUCAUGGCCCUUACGACCAGGGCUACACACGUGCUACAAUGGCGCAUACAAAGAGAAGCGACCUCGCGAGAGCAAGCGGACCUCAUAAAGUGCGUCGUAGUCCGGAUUGGAGUCUGCAACUCGACUCCAUGAAGUCGGAAUCGCUAGUAAUCGUGGAUCAGAAUGCCACGGUGAAUACGUUCCCGGGCCUUGUACACACCGCCCGUCACACCAUGGGAGUGGGUUGCAAAAGAAGUAGGUAGCUUAACCUUCGGGAGGGCGCUUACCACUUUGUGAUUCAUGACUGGGGUGAAGUCGUAACAAGGUAACCGUAGGGGAACCUGCGGUUG